CUUUACUGUAGCUUGGAAUUGGGUUCGGGCUUUGACUGCGCAGGAUAGGUGGGAGACUAUGAAGCAAUCCUUGUGGGGGUUGCUGAGUCAACGGUGAGAUACCACUCUGUCAGAGCUAGAAUUCUAACUAAAUGCCGUUAUCCGGCUUUGGAACCGUAUCAGGUGGGCAGUUUGACUGGGGCGGUCGCCUCCUAAAAGGUAACGGAGGCGCGCAAAGGUUCUCUCAGGCUGGUUGGAAAUCAGCCGUAGAGUGUAAAGGCAGAAGAGAGCUUGACUGCAAGAGCUACAACUCGAGCAGGGUGGAAACACGGCCUUAGUGAUCCGACGGCACAGCGUGGAAUGGCCGUCGCUCAACGGAUAAAAGUUA
This 367-nucleotide ribosomal RNA is filed under the name uncultured organism. RNAcentral's name for it is "bacterial LSU rRNA". It matches the Rfam family "Bacterial large subunit ribosomal RNA", at positions 2099 to 2465 of the family's 2925-position model. The record is from RNAcentral.